This 1501-nucleotide long non-coding RNA is filed under the name Lepidothrix coronata (blue-crowned manakin). Its description in RNAcentral is "lncRNA (ENSLCOG00000001114.1)". Lineage: Eukaryota; Metazoa; Chordata; Aves; Passeriformes; Pipridae. The record is from RNAcentral.
CACACCGAAAUAUUGAUGAGUAUCUUGCUCUUGCCUUUUGUGCAAAAUGCCACUCAAGGCACUGUGCCAUCCUCUCUGCUGAGCUCACAGCAUCAGCCCACGACAAGAAAGGUCCCAGAAAACAUUGACUCACUGCAUCCCAGCAUCCUGCCAGGGGACGUGUCUGCAGUGAGAUCUCCUCAGCUGGAGCGAGGUUUAAUGGAAUGGAUCACUGUGAGGCUGUUUUACCUUCCCUGAGUGUGCUGCCACCUGUGCUGCCUGCCAGGACAAGGGCUGGGGGGCACUGGGAUCGCUGCCAGUGCUGGGCAGGACACAGCUGGAGCUGGGGGUUUGCAUGUGCAGGAGGAGCUUUCUGGAGAAGCUUUCAGAUGAAAUUGCUGAGAAUUUUUGCCUGAAGCAAGGGAUGUUUCCCAUGUUUAAGACAAGCAGUAACCUGCAGUUAGAAGGAAGAAGGGACUGAAUUCACUCCAGAAGUAUUUCUCCAGGAUCUUUUUUUCAAGGAGGCAAAAUGAUGGUUCCUGCCUUGAACUGGAAGGUUUUUAAUUGGCACGGUUUGAAGAAAUGUUGGUGAAAGCAAGAGAAAGGAGAUAGAUGCUUAAAAAAACCCUAUCUGAAUGGCACCUGAACAACCAGUUCAUUGCUGUUGAAAACUAUUUGUGGAGAGACCAGAGGAGAGGUCCUUGUCCCAGCUGCAGGAAAAACCUUAUUUAAGGGACCAAGAAAGAAGACAAAGAGGAGAAGGUGAGAUGGUCCCAGGAGGCUCUGCUUUCAGCAUAUGUCGUUUUCCGAGGCUUCUCUGUGCCGAAUGCUUCUGUGUCCCAUCUGCUACCACACCCUGAAAUCAAACUCGGCAGCUUAGGUGCACCAGGCACUGUACAAACAUGUCAGACUUGCCUCCACCCCUUUUUCUACUCCCGCUUUUUCCUGCCGUCUUUCUCUCUCAAGUUUAUCGGCGUGUCAGCGGAUUCUGGUGGCGGAGCAUUCCCACCUCACCUCUGGGCACAGAGCAAUGAGGAGUCAGGGCCCAGCAACACUGUCCUCCAAUCGGCUUUGCUGCAUGACAGUGGGAGAGUUUGCCUCCAGACCCUUCUUGCUCCUCUCCCUUGGAAUUGUCCACCACCAGCAUUGUUGCAACAGGACUGCCAGACACUAGUGCUUUAAUGCAUUUGGGGACAGAGCACUGAAAAACAGAAGAGAAAUUUGUGGUGAGUGCAAGCUCUUGGGUGAGGCUGGGGGAUGUAUGUAGAGUAAGAGACAUUUGCUGAGUCUUCCCCUGCAUUUCUGAGUUCUGUGCUUGGGUAAAACCUGAGUCAGCCCUUACACAGCUGCUGGGGAAGGGAACCUGCUGCCUGACUCUCCCUCCAGCCCUGUCCCACUGGAAAGUCUCAUUCCUGAAGUGUGAUGAAGCUGUAUAUUGAUGUUGAUAUUCCGUGCUGCCUUGGUAUGGACAUGGUGUGUGCUGUGGGAGCAAUGGCUUUUGUACCCAGUAGCAAAGCUGACC